UACGUAGGGGGCAAGCGUUGUCCGGAUUUAUUGGGCGUAAAGAGCGUGUAGGCGGCCAGACAGGUCCGUUGUGAAAACUCGAGGCUCAACCUCGAGACGCCGAUGGAAACCGUCUGGCUAGAGUCCGGAAGAGGAGAGUGGAAUUCCUGGUGUAGCGGUGAAAUGCGCAGAUAUCAGGAGGAACACCGGUGGCGAAGGCGGGUCUCUGGGCAGUAACUGACGCUGAGGAGCGAAAGCGUGGGGAGCGAACAGG
Molecule: ribosomal RNA, 253 nt
Filed under: uncultured bacterium
Lineage: Bacteria
Description: partial 16S ribosomal RNA
Rfam family: Bacterial small subunit ribosomal RNA
Source: RNAcentral